This 169-nucleotide small nuclear RNA is filed under the name Catagonus wagneri (Chacoan peccary). RNAcentral describes it as "U1 spliceosomal RNA (ENSCWAG00000002724.1)". It matches the Rfam family "U1 spliceosomal RNA". From Rfam's summary of the family: U1 is a small nuclear RNA (snRNA) component of the spliceosome (involved in pre-mRNA splicing). Its 5' end forms complementary base pairs with the 5' splice junction, thus defining the 5' donor site of an intron. There are significant differences in sequence and secondary structure between metazoan and yeast U1 snRNAs, the latter being much longer (568 nucleotides as compared to 164 nucleotides in human). Lineage: Eukaryota; Metazoa; Chordata; Mammalia; Artiodactyla; Tayassuidae. The record is from Rfam by way of RNAcentral.
AUACUUACCUGGGAGAUAAGGGGAGAUACCGUGAUCAGGAAGGUGGUUUUCCCAGGGCGAGGCUUAUCCAUUGCGCCCUGGAUGUGCUGACCCCCGCAAUUUCCCCAAACGUGGGAAACUCAGCCCCUGAAUUUGUCCUAGUUGGGGACUGCUUUCACGUUCUCUUCUU